RNAcentral lists this ribosomal RNA (483 nucleotides) under uncultured bacterium. RNAcentral's name for it is "partial 16S ribosomal RNA". It matches the Rfam family "Bacterial small subunit ribosomal RNA", at positions 28 to 506 of the family's 1533-position model. The record is from RNAcentral.
AUUGAACGCUGGCGGCAUGCUUUACACAUGCAAGUCGAACGGCAGCGCGGGCUUCGGCCUGGCGGCGAGUGGCGAACGGGUGAGUAAUGCAUCGGAACGUGCCCAGUAGUGGGGGAUAGCCCGGCGAAAGCCGGAUUAAUACCGCAUACGACCUGAGGGUGAAAGCGGGGGACCGAAAGGCCUCGCGCUAUUGGAGCGGCCGAUGUCGGAUUAGCUAGUUGGUGGGGUAAAGGCUUACCAAGGCGACGAUCCGUAGCUGGUCUGAGAGGACGACCAGCCACACUGGGACUGAGACACGGCCCAGACUCCUACGGGAGGCAGCAGUGGGGAAUUUUGGACAAUGCGGGCAACCCUGAUCCAGCCAUGCCGCGUGCGGGAAGAAGGCCUUCGGGUUGUAAACCGCUUUUGUUCGGGAAGAAAUCCUCUGGGCUAAUACCCCGGGGGGAGGACGGUACCGGAAGAAUAAGCACCGGCUAACUACGU